RNAcentral lists this ribosomal RNA (1343 nucleotides) under uncultured bacterium. RNAcentral describes it as "16S ribosomal RNA". It matches the Rfam family "Bacterial small subunit ribosomal RNA", at positions 28 to 1378 of the family's 1533-position model. The record is from RNAcentral.
GACGAACGCUGGCGGCGUGCUUAACACAUGCAAGUCGAACGGAAAGGCCCUGCUUUUGUGGGGUGCUCGAGUGGCGAACGGGUGAGUAACACGUGAGUAACCUGCCCUUGACUUUGGGAUAACUUCAGGAAACUGGGGCUAAUACCGGAUAGGAGCUCCUGCUGCAUGGUGGGGGUUGGAAAGUUUCGGCGGUUGGGGAUGGACUCGCGGCUUAUCAGCUUGUUGGUGGGGUAGUGGCUUACCAAGGCUUUGACGGGUAGCCGGCCUGAGAGGGUGACCGGCCACAUUGGGACUGAGAUACGGCCCAGACUCCUACGGGAGGCAGCAGUGGGGAAUAUUGCACAAUGGGCGGAAGCCUGAUGCAGCAACGCCGCGUGCGGGAUGACGGCCUUCGGGUUGUAAACCGCUUUCGCCUGUGACGAAGCGUGAGUGACGGUAAUGGGUAAAGAAGCACCGGCUAACUACGUGCCAGCAGCCGCGGUGAUACGUAGGGUGCGAGCGUUGUCCGGAUUUAUUGGGCAUAAAGGGCUCGUAGGUGGUUGAUCGCGUCGGAAGUGUAAUCUUGGGGCUUAACCCUGAGCGUGCUUUCGAUACGGGUUGACUUGAGGAAGGUAGGGGAGAAUGGAAUUCCUGGUGGAGCGGUGGAAUGCGCAGAUAUCAGGAGGAACACCAGUGGCGAAGGCGGUUCUCUGGGCCUUUCCUGACGCUGAGGAGCGAAAGCGUGGGGAGCGAACAGGCUUAGAUACCCUGGUAGUCCACGCUGUAAACGGUGGGUACUAGGUGUGGGGUCCAUUCCACGGGUUCCGUGCCGUAGCUAACGCUUUAAGUACCCCGCCUGGGGAGUACGGCCGCAAGGCUAAAACUCAAAGGAAUUGACGGGGCCCCGCACAAGCGGCGGAGCAUGCGGAUUAAUUCGAUGCAACGCGUAGAACCUUACCUGGGUUUGACAUGGAUCGGGAGUGCUCAGAGAUGGGUGUGCCUCUUUUGGGGUCGGUUCACAGGUGGUGCAUGGCUGUCGUCAGCUCGUGUCGUGAGAUGUUGGGUUAAGUCCCGCAACGAGCGCAACCCUUGUUCACUGUUGCCAGCACGUUAUGGUGGGGACUCAGUGGAGACCGCCGGGGUCAACUCGGAGGAAGGUGGGGAUGACGUCAAGUCAUCAUGCCCCUUAUGUCCAGGGCUUCACGCAUGCUACAAUGGCUGGUACAGAGAGUGGCGAGCCUGUGAGGGUGAGCGAAUCUCGGAAAGCCGGUCUCAGUUCGGAUUGGGGUCUGCAACUCGACCUCAUGAAGUCGGAGUCGCUAGUAAUCGCAGAUCAGCAACGCUGCGGUGAAUACGUUCCCGGG